This 2626-nucleotide long non-coding RNA is filed under the name Leptinotarsa decemlineata (Colorado potato beetle). RNAcentral describes it as "uncharacterized LOC111511731, transcript variant X3". Lineage: Eukaryota; Metazoa; Arthropoda; Insecta; Coleoptera; Chrysomelidae. The record is from RNAcentral.
GAGAUAAAAAGAAUAAGGCGUACGAGGAGAUGUCAACCAAGCUAACGGAAAUUGAUUCAUCGGCAACAAUAGAAAUAGUGAAAAUGAGAAUUGACUCGAUUCGAGGAACAUCUUUUUUUAAAACAUGGUAUAUAUCUCUACCGGUUUCUGGUAGGAAGUGUCCCAAAACUUGGGGAGAUAUUUAUCGCUGAAAAUUUCAAAUCUUCGUAGCUUCUUCCGGUAGCGAUAAAUCUCAAAGUGGCUGUUCAUGGGUGGGUUAUACUUUGACGAGAGGCUAAACCGCCCAGUCCUUACCAACGUUGCCAAGUGUACCCAGUUUGUAUUUCGCGGGAAAUUACAAAAUAUACUUUAAAAAUCAGGUUAUGUGUUAGAACUUGCUUUUGUUAUACUGCGGUUUCUUUUUUUAUCUACCUGUAAAGAAAUUUGAAUUCAGAAAAUGCCAGUUAUAUGAGGUAUAUGUGAGAAAGUAUAUGCCACACAAUCAUCUCAUAACAGACAUAUACGAGAAGUGCACCAAAAAAAUCCAGAGCCUGUAUCUUAUUCAUCUCAGAAGGGAUGCGGUGCAAUUUUUAGUAGUCGUUGCCUUGAAGCAGAUUGUGAUUUUGCAUCCAAAACCCAUAAGAAUUUAGUGGACCAUUUGCAGAGAAUUCGUCUGCUGAAGUUUGAAACAGAGUGUCAUGUUAUGAAAAAUAUAAAUGGUUUGUUAAUUCUAAAAUCAGAAUAACACUAUUUUGAAAUUUAUUUUUAUUUAUAUCAGAUUUUGAAAUUUGGAAAUCAAAUACUGAAACAAUUAACAAUUGCUCUUAUGUUUUGAAAAGUAGGAAUGCUAGUACUAUUGGUGAAAUAGUGUACCUAUUACAAGUGCAACAGGAGUACAAGUUACUAUAUAUCCCCAGUGACAACAGUAAUCGAAGACAUAUAUUGUUGAAGAGCCAGGGAUCUUGUAAGAUAAAUAGUUUUUGCACAAGUGAAAUCAAAGUUGUUGAAGAAAACAAAAUUCUGGUAGAGUGGCAAAAAGUACAUUAUGGUCGUAAGCUUGAUAUACAACAUUAGAUUGUCAAAAACUGAAAAACAAAAUAUUGCCACAAAGAUAACAAAUGGUGUUGCACCUCAAAGGUAAUCAUAUUUUAUACUUAUGUUAUCAUCAGAGACUCAUUAAUAAACAAUUCUUAUCCCAAUGUCUGCAGAAUCCUGUGAUUUAAAUAUAAAAUAGCAUCUAAAUAUUCACUUAUCAAUUUUGAAUUAUUCACCUUCUACCAGAAUCCUGUGAAUAACCUAACCAAUUUUUUCACAGAAUCUGGGAAUUCACUCGUGAUAAUAUUUGUGAACAUUUGAAAAAAGCAGAUUUGUUAACUACUAAGGAUCUGAGGAAUAUAAAAAUAAGCUAUGGUCUUGAAUUGAAAGAUGGAAAGCGAGAUUCGAAUGAUGCCUUUUCUGUGGCUCUUUGGGUGAAGGAAUGUGAAAAUCUCAAAGGAAAUCCUAUUUUGUUUAAUAAAGAGUAAGGAAAGGACCAUAGUAUUUCAAGAAAAGAGGACUUGCUUGAUAAUAAUGAACACAUUUCAAAGACAAAUGAUGAAACAGUUUCCAUCUACAAUUACCAUCGAUAGUACCCAAGGCCUCAAUGACUAUGAUUUUGAAAUGACAACCAUUAUGGUCUUAGAUGAAUAUCACCAUGGUUUUCCAGUAGCUGAAAUGUUCACAAAUAGAAAAGAUACCAUACUGCAGAGUGUACUAUUUCAGCAAUCAAGGACACCAUGUGAGUUAUUCAUUGUAAAUUUUUCAUGUCAGAUAUGGCUGAGGUGUUUUUUAACGCAUGGUAUGGGGUGAUGGGUCCGCCUUAUCCACAACACUUAUUUUGAUCCUGACAUGUUGACAGAGCUUGGCAGAGCCAAUUUAAAUAAAAUUUCCACUAAGGACAAGCGUUCAGAAAUUUACAAAAUACUAAAAAUAUUGCAACAAAAAACUAUUGAAUCGAACUUUGUUUCGGCUUUGGAUAAUGCUUUGAGUUAUAUGUGCAACAAUGAAGUCACAAGACAUUUUGCAGAGUAUUUUUCUAAUACCUACAGUCAUAAUUUAAAAAAAUGGGCUUACUGUUUCAGAAAAGAAGCUAGCAUUAACAAAUAUGCAUUUGGAGUUCAUGCAAAAAGUAAUCAAGUAUUUUUACUUGGAAAGAAAGACAGUAAAACGCCUUGACAAGAGUUUAAACAUGGUAUUGAAAUAUGUGAGAGACAAGAGUGUAAAACGAAUUAUUACAUUGAGCAAGGGUGAACAUACCAAACAAACAAGAUUGAUAUCUCAGAAUCACGAGGAGGCAAUUGAAAAUAGGGAAGAGUAUACAAUUUUGAAAAUUGGUGAUAACUGGAAAAUUUCCAAAAAUCAAAAUAUUUCAUAUACUAUCGAAAUGCUGUGAACAAUAAUUAUGUUUGUUCUGUGAGGUGUGUAUUCAUAUGUUUUCAUGUGAGUGCAAAUUCUAUACAGAAAGAAAAAUUAUGCGCAAACAUAUCCAUAUGACGAUAAAAAAAUCUACGAAAACAGGAAAACAUUUUAAUUCGACUGAUAGAGACAUUUCAAGAUCUGAAUGCUCAUCAGCUCUGGGAAAAGAACAUCAAGAAUCAAACAUAGGACG